CAAACCAAAUGUAUUCUUUUUUGGGUAAAGUUAAAACCAAGUAAGUCCGGUCUAGUACGUUCAUUCCUUUUUUAAAAAAUUUAAUGAAUUAAAUAUAAUGAUCACUUUCAACCCACAACCUUGAGCCACCACAAAGUAGAGCGAAAAACCAACUUCGAGCUGCCAUUUGCCAUUUGCCAUUUUCCAGGGCCACUCUCAAGAGCGUCUUGGCAGAGAUGGACGCGUGACGGGCGGGGGGCGUGGCAAGCGAUGCGUGAAUAAAUCAGCUCGAGUUGCAGGCACAUAGUGCAUAUAACAUUUAAAAAUAGUCAGAAGGUCAAGGAGAUUGGAAAAACUUCCUUAUUGACUUAUGCUGGUAUGCAAUGGUAUAUUCGAUGUGAUCAAAUUGUAUGCAAUAGGAAUUUAAAAACGUUCUUGAAAAUUCAUUAGUGCCCAUGCCAAACAUAAAAUGUAAAAUAAAAUAAAUGAGUAUGCUAAACCCUUAUCAGAUAUGGUAUCC
This 499-nucleotide small RNA is filed under the name Drosophila yakuba. RNAcentral describes it as "GE27377". Lineage: Eukaryota; Metazoa; Arthropoda; Insecta; Diptera; Drosophilidae. The record is from RNAcentral.